CGCGGCCUAUCAGCUUGUUGGCGGGGUAAUGGCUCACCAAGGCGACGACGGGUAGCCGGCCUGAGAGGGUGACCGGCCACACUGGGACUGAGACACGGCCCAGACUCCUACGGGAGGCAGCAGUGGGGAAUAUUGCACAAUGGGCGCAAGCCUGAUGCAGCGACGCCGCGUGAGGGAUGACGGCCUUCGGGUUGUAAACCUCUUUCAGCAGGGAAGAAGCGAAAGUGACGGUACCUGCAGAAGAAGCGCCGGCUAACUACGUGCCAGCAGCCGCGGUAAUACGUAGGGCGCAAGCGUUGUCCGGAAUUAUUGGGCGUAAAGAGCUCGUAGGCGGUUUGUCGCGUCUGCUGUGAAAGCCCGGGGCUUAACCCCGGGUCUGCAGUGGGUACGGGCAGACUAGAGUGCAGUAGGGGAGACUGGAAUUCCUGGUGUAGCGGUGAAAUGCGCAGAUAUCAGGAGGAACACCGAUGGCGAAGGCAGGUCUCUGGGCUGUUACUGACGCUGAGGAGCGAAAGCAUGGGGAGCGAACAGGAUUAGAUACCCUGGUAGUCCAUGCCGUAAACGUUGGGCACUAGGUGUGGGGGACAUUCCACGUUUUCCGCGCCGUAGCUAACGCAUUAAGUGCCCCGCCUGGGGAGUACGG
Molecule: ribosomal RNA, 643 nt
Filed under: uncultured bacterium
Lineage: Bacteria
Description: bacterial SSU rRNA
Rfam family: Bacterial small subunit ribosomal RNA
Source: RNAcentral